CCAAUAGCGUAUAUUAAAGUUGUUGCAGUUAAAAAGCUCGUAGUUGAAUUUCGGGAUUGGCGCAUCGGUCGUGCCUCACGGGGUAUGAACUGGUGCAGUCAAUUUCUCACCUUCUGGAGAACCGCGAUGUCCUUAAUUGGAUGCCGCGGGGAACCAGGACCUUUACUUUGAAAAAAUUAGAGUGUUUAAAGCAGGCAUUUUUGCUUGAAUACAUUAGCAUGGAAUAAUAAAAUAGGACGGCAUGGUUCUAUUUUGUUGGUUUCUAGGAUCACCGUAAUGAUUAAUAGGGAUAGUUGGGGGCAUUAGUAUUCAAUUGUCAGAGGUGAAAUUCUUGGAUUUAUUGAAGACUAACUACUGCGAAAGCAUUUGCCAAGGAUGUUUUCAUUAAUCAAGAACGAAAGUUAGGGGAUCGAAGACGAUCAGAUACCGUCGUAGUCUUAACCAUAAACUAUGCCGACUAGGAAUCAGACGAUGUUAAUUUUUUAAUGACUCGUUUGGCACCUUACG
This 507-nucleotide ribosomal RNA is filed under the name uncultured Glomeromycotina. RNAcentral's name for it is "partial small subunit ribosomal RNA". It matches the Rfam family "Eukaryotic small subunit ribosomal RNA", at positions 591 to 1092 of the family's 1831-position model. Lineage: Eukaryota; Fungi; Glomeromycota. The record is from RNAcentral.